UAAUCGGCCCUUUUAAGGGCCACCACAAUUUCGAAUAGCAAUUGCA
Molecule: non-coding RNA, 46 nt
Organism: Folsomia candida
Lineage: Eukaryota; Metazoa; Arthropoda; Collembola; Entomobryomorpha; Isotomidae
Source: Rfam